Molecule: ribosomal RNA, 760 nt
Filed under: uncultured Acidaminococcus sp.
Lineage: Bacteria; Bacillati; Bacillota; Negativicutes; Acidaminococcales; Acidaminococcaceae
Description: bacterial SSU rRNA
Rfam family: Bacterial small subunit ribosomal RNA
Source: RNAcentral
ACGGAGAGUUUAUUUCGGUAAGCUCUUAGUGGCGAACGGGUGAGUAACACGUGGGCAACCUGCCUCGUGGUUGGGGACAACAUUCCGAAAGGAGUGCUAAUACCGAAUACGCUCCAUUACCGGCAUCGGUUUUGGAGGAAAGAUGGCCUCUAUUUAUAAGCUAUCACCAUGAGAUGGGCCUGCGUCUGAUUAGCUAGUUGGUGAGGUAACGGCCCACCAAGGCGAUGAUCAGUAGCCGGUCUGAGAGGAUGAACGGCCACAUUGGGACUGAGACACGGCCCAAACUCCUACGGGAGGCAGCAGUGGGGAAUCUUCCGCAAUGGGCGAAAGCCUGACGGAGCAACGCCGCGUGAGUGAUGAAGGCCUUCGGGCUGUAAAACUCUGUUGUCAGGGACGAAGGUGCAUCUUUCGAACAGAUGGGUGUAUUGACGGUACCUGACGAGGAAGCCACGGCUAACUACGUGCCAGCAGCCGCGGUAAUACGUAGGUGGCAAGCGUUGUCCGGAAUUAUUGGGCGUAAAGAGCAUGUAGGCGGGCUUUUAAGUCCGGCGUGAAAAUGCGGGGCUCAACCCCGUAUGGCGUUGGAAACUGGAAGUCUUGAGUGCAGGAGAGGAAAGGGGAAUUCCCAGUGUAGCGGUGAAAUGCGUAGAUAUUGGGAGGAACACCAGUGGCGAAGGCGCCUUUCUGGACUGUGUCUGACGCUCAGAUGCGAAAGCCAGGGUAGCAAACGGGAUUAGAUACCCCGGUAGUCCUGGCCGUA